CACGUAGGGUGCGAGCGUUGUCCGGAAUUAUUGGGCGUAAAGCGCACGUAGGCGGUUCGUUAAGUCGGAUGUGAAGGCCCUCGGCUCAACUGAGGAAGUGCACCCGAAACUGGCGAGCUUGAGUACGAAAGAGGAUCGCGGAAUUCCCGGUGUAGAGGUGAAAUUCGUAGAUAUCGGGAGGAACACCGGUGGCGAAGGCGGCGAUCUGGGUCGAUACUGACGCUGAGGUGCGAAAGCGUGGGGAGCAAACAGG
This 253-nucleotide ribosomal RNA is filed under the name uncultured bacterium. RNAcentral's name for it is "partial 16S ribosomal RNA". It matches the Rfam family "Bacterial small subunit ribosomal RNA", at positions 524 to 776 of the family's 1533-position model. The record is from RNAcentral.